Molecule: long non-coding RNA, 341 nt
Organism: Bufo bufo (common toad)
Lineage: Eukaryota; Metazoa; Chordata; Amphibia; Anura; Bufonidae
Exons: 3
Source: RefSeq, a predicted model, not a curated record
UGAUUUCUGCAGCCUGAGGACAGGAGUGGAUGCUGGAACAUCAGGUUUGAGACAGUAAGCUUUUUAUAUUCUAAUACCUUUCUUAAUUAACUGACUUCCCCUCUAUGGGUGCCUUCACACAAAGCAGAUAAUUGCAGAAGUGUUCUGCGAUUGAAAGUCCCGUUCCAUGUACUUGCCCAUAUAGAUGAAUGGAAGUGAGUGUCAGGAGAUCCUGCAACAAGAUCUACAGCGUAUGAAGGCACCCCAAUUGUCACAGGUCAAUACAACCAAUUGUGUUUCACACAGUACUCAGCAAGGUGCCCCCCAGGACAGCACAUAUUAUACAUGGUCUACAGCAGCAC